GUUUUUUUAUCCAAUAUGAUGUAUAUUAAUGUUUUUAAUUUUUAUUUUACAGGAACAUAUCAAAUUCAUAUGUUCUUAUGUGAUACAGGACAUAUGAAGCAUUACGAAAAUUAUCAAAUUACUAUAUUCUUAUGUGAAUCAGGAAACUCAGAGAAUCUAAAGAAGAAACCUCUAAAGAUCUACCCUAAGCAAAACUCAUCAACAUAAAAAAUAAAACCAAAGUUUAGAGAAAAUUCUAACAACACAAAAAAAAAAAAUUGAUAAAUUGUUUUGCUAAGUUUGAGUAAAUGAUAAAAUAGAUUUGAAUUUUUGGGUAGAUGAUAAAUUAUUAUUUUGGUAAUUACAUCAUGUAUUGUAAGUAUGUAGCUUUUACAAACGAAAUCUUUUUAUAAUAUUUUAUGUA
Molecule: long non-coding RNA, 403 nt
Organism: Camelina sativa (false flax)
Lineage: Eukaryota; Viridiplantae; Streptophyta; Magnoliopsida; Brassicales; Brassicaceae
Source: RefSeq, a predicted model, not a curated record